Molecule: long non-coding RNA, 751 nt
Filed under: Parus major (Great Tit)
Lineage: Eukaryota; Metazoa; Chordata; Aves; Passeriformes; Paridae
Description: lncRNA (ENSPMJG00000012128.1)
Source: RNAcentral
CUAGAUAUUUGAUUGCUUUGUUGGAACAGUUCCACAGUAGCUGACUGAGCUGACCUCCAGAUGUAUCUCCUCCAGGGCAUUAUGUUCUGUUUCGCAUUAUCAGCUGCAUGCUCCAAAGGGAUUCAAAUCAUCACUGAAGGUAAAAGCCCUCACAGACAUGAGGACACCAAAGUCCUUCAGAGCAUGGCCAUAGGAAAUGCUCGUCACCAUUUCAACAGCUCUAAAACUGGAUGUUGCAGGUGUCUCACAUAGACAGCUGCAAUUUUACUGAUGCUGUGCAGCACAGGAUAUCCACUCUCAUUACGUUUCAAGACACAGGAAAUGCAACUCAGUAUCUGAAUGCAUAAGAAGGAAGGAACCUUUUAAAGUUCAAGGUAAGUGCCAUGAUUUUUAAGUUGCUGCAGGAGGAGAAGAGAGCAUUUAAUGGAUCCUUUACUUAAUUCUGAAACUUGCUUUUCAUUUUUAAUGUUUCCUACAGGAUUCAAGAAGCCUGUUGACAGCAAUACACACUGGUAUAUAAAAAUCAAUUGCAAACUUUAAUACUUACAUGUGCUGGCUUCCAAGCCCCCAAAAGCCCCCACUGAGGAGGUUCACAAAUGGGAAGUGAAGAAUACCAGGCACUUGGAUCCUUAUUGUGAAGACUGACUGAAGAGAAGCAUGCAAAACAUAAGGUGCUAUACAAAAACCUUUGAAUCAGAAUGGGUAACUACACAAAUAAUAAACAAAAUAAAAAUACGUUGAGAAAUACGCA